Armigeres subalbatus is the source of this 506-nucleotide long non-coding RNA. RefSeq lists it as uncharacterized. The record is from RefSeq and is a predicted model, not a curated record. Lineage: Eukaryota; Metazoa; Arthropoda; Insecta; Diptera; Culicidae. The transcript has 3 exons.
CAAGUAUCAUAAGACACCAGAGAUAUCAGUGCAGGAACAAACAAGGAACUUUUGAAGUAAGUAAUACCCCAAUUUGGUUAAUCUGGUAGCUGUAUUCAUGUGAUAUAAUUUGCUGUUUCAGAUUCCAUACUUCAGGGAACUACCAGUGGGGCGUGCCAAUGCCAUCCGAGUACCCAGGAAGAACAUCCCGAAUGAAAUGGAUAAUUUCCCGUUUUAUUUGGAUACACAUUCGAUCAAUCGCACCCAUUCUACAAGCAAGAUACGAACAAAUUGGAAUCGAAACAGGAAGCUGUGUGUUGUUGCGCUCAUCAAGGAAAUUAAUGGAAAGGAUCAUAUAGUGCCUUCGAAGGUACACCGAAGCUUGGAAUGUGAAGUUUUCGCGGAAAAAAGUGUCUACCGCCACCGAUGAGUUGCUGGCCGAAAGUGUUCCUGUACAUAAAUAAAACCAGUUCACAAACGUAUUUCUGCUGCUAAAGCUUAAAAAAUGUCCCUUGAUGUUAUAUUUU